CAGAAAGGAAAAGUGCAGUUGGAACAGCCUACUGAAGUAUUAUGAUAAUAAAGGAAAUUUAGUUGAGAAUAACAGGCUGAAGACACUUUUUGGUCGAGGAGAAGGAACAAAACUAGAAAAAUGAUGACAUCUGAUAAAGUUUGCCAAUUUAUUGAAACAUAGAAGUACAGAUUGAUAGGCAGCAAUGUGAGGUGUUAUCUAUGAAGGAUUUAAGUUAGAGAAGGGAUUGAGAGCCAUCAAUUUUGUAUUAGAUGUGAGAAAAUGAAUUUGAUAUUUUAAUAGUUGUUAGUUUCACUGAUGUUAGUUAUUUUUUAGUAAACUCUGCUUUGAUGAUUUUUCAGUUGAAUAGCUCUUUGAUAUAGAAACAAGGGGAGCUGCCUGAGUUUCUUUCAAUGAAUUGUUUCAUUCUAGUUUCUUGGUUGUGUGGCUUUACAAUUAAAUGUCUUUUUCCUUUUCGAGGCAUGAAGGCCGACCAAAUUCUAAAGUUUCCAGAGAGUAAGUGUUUGCUCGCAGUGAGUGUGCGAUGGCUGUCCUGGGAGGCACACAGCAGGUGAAAUUAAAGGGUAAAGAGCAGAAAAAAGAAAUAUUAGCUGCAAAGGUGGUCAAAGGAGGGAGCUGUGGCAGUAACAUAUCUGGUAACAGCACAACUAAGUAGUUAAAGAUAAAAUAAAAGACAUCAGAUAAGAGAUAGAGAAAGCUCAGAAUGAAGGGAAAAUAGGGAGAAACAGUUUGACCAACAGGUAGACAGUACUGACAUACUAUAUAGCCUUUAGUGAGGGAAAUGUAGUCACAGAGACAGAAUAAUGAAAGAGCCCAUCCUGUUAGAUAAGGUCUAAAUAGAUAUACCCCCAGAUGAAGAAACGUACAGAGCAAGUGGAAGGAAGAUAUAAGUAAGUGCAUUUAAGGGCCAGUACAGGCAGAAGAAGAAGAAGGAAAAGAAUUAGGGUCUAUAAAGGGUUGAGUUAAGAUAUAAAGGAGAGAUGGAAAAAGAGAGGGUAUAUUAGAUAGGGAGGAGACGAGAGCUAGAUUUGAAUAGGAAAAAACAACAACUCUCAAACAAAGAAGUGAAAGGUUAAAACAGGUGGCAGAAAGGCAACAGUCUGCCUACAGACCAAGGCACCUGCAGAGCACAACGAACCAUGAGACAUGACGACAGCAAGACAGAGCUACAAUGGACAAGAUGGCAGCUCUGAAGUUUCAUGAAGAAGGCGAGAGAGCAGCUUCAAAAUGGACACAGCAGAAUCUGACUGAGAGGAAGAGAGGGAGGGCCACAAACGAGCGGUGAUACAGGAGGCGUUUCACAGAGAGGCGUGCCAACCUGAUGCAUCACAGGCCCAAGCCCACCUCCACUUACGUCAGCGUCUUCCCAAUGCUGAGGACGCAGCCCGUCAGACCACCCCUACCAUCCACAGUCGAAUCAUAAAGAGGACAACACCACCUUAAAGACUGUGAACCUAACAGCGCAAAGUUUAAAAGGUCAAGAAGGUUUAACAGUGAAAAUGAACUUCAGCCAAAAUGCUCUCACAUGUGACCGAGUGCUGACAGAGACAUCACCAAGGAAGCGCUCUCUGUCUCACCAUGAUCAACAUUACAAAUGGUCAGACUGUCAGAGGCCUUGAAAACUGCAACAUCUGCUGAAAAAGAACUGUUUGAAGACUGACCUCACAAGAGUUUGGGAGUAGGAGUGUUGAUAAUUUGUAGGAGAAGAAUAAAUAGAAAGAUAGGGGAA
Micropterus dolomieu (smallmouth bass) is the source of this 1729-nucleotide long non-coding RNA. RefSeq lists it as uncharacterized. The record is from RefSeq and is a predicted model, not a curated record. The transcript is spliced from 2 exons. NCBI's taxonomy places the organism in Eukaryota, Metazoa, Chordata, Actinopteri, Centrarchiformes, Centrarchidae.